Molecule: long non-coding RNA, 556 nt
Organism: Motacilla alba alba
Lineage: Eukaryota; Metazoa; Chordata; Aves; Passeriformes; Motacillidae
Exons: 6
Source: RefSeq, a predicted model, not a curated record
CAGAUGGUUAAAUUUUCAGAAAACACAAUAUGACAGUGAGUUGGAUUGAUGGAAGUUGCUGGAACAGAAGGAUCAGAAUUUCCCUUCACGUCUCUUGGGUUGCAGUGUCAGUAGGUGUGUCGUCAUCUACAUCUGCGUGGCUGAAGUCAGAACUUUUGUCAUCAAUAUUUUAUGGGCAUCAUAACUACUGAGGAAUUUAUGUUUCAGAUUGUGGGAACAAGGGGAGUGUAUUAAGGAUCAAAGCAAAGCCUGAGGAUGAUGGGAGCAUAAAAAUACCUUUAUUAUCCAUUGCAGGACUCUUACAGGACAGAUGCCUUCUCAAGUUGUGCAUCCAGACAGAAGUAAAAGCUGGAUCAGUUAAGAAAAAGUCAGUGGUGGUGCAGAUGGUGAUGACAGCUCAUACAGAAAUGCUGCUAGAUUUCUAACCAUUGCCUCGAAAUACUGAUUUCAAACUGCAGUGCUAUAAUGACAGCAUUAAUGAAGGUUCCUUCAGCCAUGCUUCUUUUCCAGAUGGAAGAUGAAAGAAAGGUACAGAUAGAGAAUCAGCCACCUAAGC